AUACCCAAGUCGGGGCUCUCUGCACUCCAAGGCUGAAGGAGAUGAUGGUAAACCCUAGCUGCUAAUUCAUGGUCACCUUUGGCUUCACAUAAUAAGGAAGCAUGUGAAAGUCAUGGGUCUGCAUGAAUUUGGAGAUGGGGUUACCCUGAUCUUUUUGUAUUGGAGUGAAGGGAGCUCCGAAUUCGGAUUUC
Cajanus cajan (pigeon pea) is the source of this 191-nucleotide non-coding RNA. The record is from Rfam. Lineage: Eukaryota; Viridiplantae; Streptophyta; Magnoliopsida; Fabales; Fabaceae.